This 1188-nucleotide long non-coding RNA is filed under the name Prunus persica (peach). RNAcentral describes it as "long non-coding RNA (PPER_LNC001321)". The record is from RNAcentral. Lineage: Eukaryota; Viridiplantae; Streptophyta; Magnoliopsida; Rosales; Rosaceae.
AGGUUCCACGAAAAAACGUUGUGUUAUGUCAAUUGCUGUACGAGGAAGGGAGGGAGCAGGGAUGACCUGUACAAUUUCUGGUUUGACUCAGUCAAGUUUGUUGACAUAGCAAACUGUGAAUCACGAUAUCCGUUGGAAUUUGGAAACGCCGAACGCAAACAAAACAACAACCCAAAUCCACGAAUCCAGCGUUAAAACACAGUAUCUUGUUUUCCACGUUGUCCAAGUGCUGCCACGUCGCUUAUAAACAGAAAAUUAUAUUAUUGGACUUGAAAACUUUUUACACUCAGUUUUUAAUGUUUUGUUGUUUUGUGAUUGUAUUGUUGUACUGUAAAUAUUCGAGGUUAGGCUGUCUAUUCAACAAGUCCUUGUUAACCCUCCAAAGAUGGAGAUGAGAACAAGCAAUCUGACCCCCAUCCAACAGGACCCAUUCUCCCUGUUUUUCUUUCAUGCGGAACAAGAUCCUUGUGUUACUCUCCAGUAAAGAUUAUUGGAAAAUGCUAGGCAUCGCAUAUUAAAUUGUAUACCACUUCUUUAAUAGAUGUGUGUCCUAUUGUAUUUGUUGGCAUCACUUUUAUUAGGACUCAUUUGGUACGUCAGACUGUACUGAUUAAUUUUUGUCGGAUAAUAUUAAUCUGUUUCGGAAACUACUGACUAUUUAUCCAUAAUAUUAUAAGGCGUUUGGUGUUGUUUCAGAUUAAUAGUCUGACUAAGUCAUAUUGUGUUUUGUCCUUCAUCGGAUAACAGAGGAUCAUACUUUUUAAAAAUAAAAAUAAAAAUAAAAAAAUUCUUUGAUAAUAUAAGUGGAAAUUGAAAUCUAUAUGACAAAUUUUUUUAGCAAGAUUUAAAUGACAAUAGUUUUUUUUUUUUUUGUUUUUUUCCAAGAUUUAUAAGAUAAGAUUACAUGAACUAACCCAUUAUCAUAAUUAUAGAACUUAGCAUCAUACGUUUUACAUGUUUAUUGAUGGAAAAAAAUCACAUCUUGAUAUAAAAAAACUACAUAAGACAUCUUGAUAUAAACACAUCUUUUCUGAUUGUGAAUUGACAUACGCACAUCUUUUUCGAUUGUGAACUGAUAAAUUACAUAAGACUACAAAUAGAUGAUAAAUUAUAGAAGAUCAAGUCUGAAGCUAAUGAUGGUCUGGUGCAAUGCAAUUUUACAUCAACCAUCUUGAUUGGCAAUCUCAC